RNAcentral lists this signal recognition particle RNA (148 nucleotides) under Homo sapiens (human). Its description in RNAcentral is "Metazoan signal recognition particle RNA". It matches the Rfam family "Metazoan signal recognition particle RNA". From Rfam's summary of the family: The signal recognition particle (SRP) is a universally conserved ribonucleoprotein. The record is from Rfam by way of RNAcentral. Lineage: Eukaryota; Metazoa; Chordata; Mammalia; Primates; Hominidae.
GCCGAGCAUGGUGGUGCAUGCCUGUAGUCCCAGCUACUUGGGAAGCUGAGGCAGGAGGAUCACUUGAGCCCAGGAGGUCCAGGCUGCAGUGAGCGAUGUUCAUGCCACUGCACUCCAGCCUGGGCAACAAAGUGAGAUCCCGUCUCAA